RNAcentral lists this ribosomal RNA (253 nucleotides) under uncultured bacterium. RNAcentral describes it as "partial 16S ribosomal RNA". It matches the Rfam family "Bacterial small subunit ribosomal RNA", at positions 524 to 776 of the family's 1533-position model. The record is from RNAcentral.
UACGAAGGUGGCAAGCGUUACUCGGAAUUACUAGGCGUAAAGGGCAGGUAGGCGGUUUGUCGCGUCGGGCGUGAAAACCUUGGGCUUAACUCAGGGCUUGCUUUCGAUACGGGCAGACUAGAGGUAUGCAGGGGAGAACGGAAUUCCUGGUGUAGCGGUGAAAUGCGCAGAUAUCAGGAGGAACACCGGUGGCGAAGGCGGUUCUCUGGGCAUGAUCUGACGCUGAGGAGCGAAAGUGUGGGGAGCGAACAGG